UUAAGUUCAGCGGGUAGUCCUACCUGAUUUGAGGUCAAAUAGUCAGUUAAGUUUGUCUUGUUACAGACGAUUAGAAGCUGUAGCCAUCUGGUAGAGUCGCAUAGUUAUCUCUCUUUCAAGAGAAGGCAAAGAGAGCUUGUUAAAACAAGCAACCCUUCAAACCCGACCUCUACCCAGCAAGAAGACCAUAGAUAUUAUCA
RNAcentral lists this unclassified non-coding RNA (200 nucleotides) under Xerula sp. RNAcentral describes it as "partial internal transcribed spacer 2". Lineage: Eukaryota; Fungi; Basidiomycota; Agaricomycetes; Agaricales; Physalacriaceae. The record is from RNAcentral.